UAGUGGUCACCCAGAUAGGUGUCCUAUUUUAUUGUUUAUUUCUUCUACACUGACGUAUUUUGUUUUGUUUUGUCUAUGAUUGCAUUGCAUUACAUCAUCAUAGAAAGAAGGUGUUGAUUCACAUUCGAUUGCUAAAUAGAAGAGCUUGUCAUGAAAAAAUAGAUUUCUUGAUAAAGUGGAAUAUAAUACGGCAAUUCGAAUAUGGUCCGAGUAAACAACAAGAUAAGGCUGAUAAUUCAUGAAGGAAUACACGACUUUGCUUCAUCGCCUAAGGAUUCAAGCCAACAAAGAUUAUUCGAGAGCCUUCAUGUCCUAAAGAAACUGACAAGCAUCGCGAGGAUAAGUGAGCAAUGAGUCGCAACCUGGAUCGAGCAAAAAGAAGCUAGUAGAAGCACUCAUUGAAAAGUUCGCCAAAUUUGAUCUUAACCGCUGGAUAUGAAGAAAGGGAUCAGUGUCUUCGCUUGGAAUAUGAGGGCAAGGCUGCAUAUGUAA
RNAcentral lists this long non-coding RNA (492 nucleotides) under Gossypium barbadense (sea-island cotton). RNAcentral's name for it is "long non-coding RNA (GBAR_LNC012867)". Lineage: Eukaryota; Viridiplantae; Streptophyta; Magnoliopsida; Malvales; Malvaceae. The record is from RNAcentral.